GACGUACGCUGGCGGCGUGCCUAAUACAUGCAAGUUGAGCGCUGAAGGUUGGUACUUGUCCCGACUGGAUGAGCAGCGAACGGGUGAGUAACGCGUGGGGAAUCUGCCUUUGAGCGGGGGACAACAUUUGGAAACGAAUGCUAAUACCGCAUAAAAACUUUAAACACAAGUUUUAAGUUUGAAAGAUGCAAUUGCAUCACUCAAAGAUGAUCCCGCGUUGUAUUAGCUAGUUGGUGAGGUAAAGGCUCACCAAGGCGAUGAUACAUAGCCGACCUGAGAGGGUGAUCGGCCACAUUGGGACUGAGACACGGCCCAAACUCCUACGGGAGGCAGCAGUAGGGAAGCUUCGGCAAUGGACGAAAGUCUGACCGAGCAACGCCGCGUGAGUGAAGAAGGUUUUCGGAUCGUAAAACUCUGUUGGUAGAGAAGAACGUUGGUGAGAGUGGAAAGCUCAUCAAGUGACGGUAACUACCCAGAAAGGGACGGCUAACUACGUG
RNAcentral lists this ribosomal RNA (497 nucleotides) under uncultured bacterium. RNAcentral's name for it is "partial 16S ribosomal RNA". It matches the Rfam family "Bacterial small subunit ribosomal RNA", at positions 28 to 507 of the family's 1533-position model. The record is from RNAcentral.